UUUUGGACAAUGGGGGCAACCCUGAUCCAGCAAUGCCGCGUGAGUGAAGAAGGCCUUCGGGUUGUAAAGCUCUUUUGUCAGGGAAGAAACGGUGGGGGCUAAUAUCCUCUGCUAAUGACGGUACCUGAAGAAUAAGCACCGGCUAACUACGUGCCAGCAGCCGCGGUAAUACGUAGGGUGCAAGCGUUAAUCGGAAUUACUGGGCGUAAAGCGUGCGCAGGCGGUUGUGCAAGACAGAUGUGAAAUCCCCGGGCUCAACCUGGGAAUUGCAUCUGUGACUGCACGGCUUGAGUGUGUCAGAGGGGGGUAGAAUUCCACGUGUAGCAGUGAAAUGCGUAGAUAUGUGGAGGAAUACCGAUGGCGAAGGCAGCCCCCUGGGAUAACACUGACGCUCAUGCACGAA
This 403-nucleotide ribosomal RNA is filed under the name uncultured bacterium. Its description in RNAcentral is "bacterial SSU rRNA". It matches the Rfam family "Bacterial small subunit ribosomal RNA", at positions 362 to 757 of the family's 1533-position model. The record is from RNAcentral.